This 253-nucleotide ribosomal RNA is filed under the name uncultured bacterium. RNAcentral's name for it is "partial 16S ribosomal RNA". It matches the Rfam family "Bacterial small subunit ribosomal RNA", at positions 524 to 776 of the family's 1533-position model. The record is from RNAcentral.
UACGAAGGGGGCUAGCGUUGUUCGGAAUUACUGGGCGUAAAGCGCGCGUAGGCGGCUUUGCAAGUCGGGUGUGAAAUCCCCAGGCUUAACCUGGGAACUGCAUUCGAGACUGCAUUGCUAGAGUAUGGGAGAGGGAAGUGGAAUUUCCGGUGUAGCGGUGAAAUGCGUAGAUAUCGGAAGGAACAUCAGUGGCGAAGGCGGCUUCCUGGCCCAAUACUGACACUCAGGUGCGACAGCGUGGGGAGCAAACAGG